GCACGGGUAUGGAUUCAUGGCAGGCUUGUUUCCCUGAGCCUCUCAUAGUGUUCCAUGCCAGAGGAAACUGGCCCCGAACCAUUGCCUGGCCUCUGUCUGUAGGCUUCUGGCACUGAAGUGGGUUGCACAUUG
Small nucleolar RNA from Perognathus longimembris pacificus (Pacific pocket mouse), 132 nucleotides. RefSeq annotates it as small nucleolar RNA SNORA42/SNORA80 family. NCBI's taxonomy places the organism in Eukaryota, Metazoa, Chordata, Mammalia, Rodentia, Heteromyidae. The transcript has a single exon. The record is from RefSeq and is a predicted model, not a curated record.